Molecule: ribosomal RNA, 1242 nt
Filed under: metagenome
Description: bacterial LSU rRNA
Rfam family: Bacterial large subunit ribosomal RNA
Source: RNAcentral
UGCUCGCGAAGUGAUUGAACGAGGUUCCAGGAAAAGCCACUAAGCUUCAGCUACACACGACCGUACCGCAAACCGACACUGGUGCGCGAGAUGAGUAUUCUAAGGCGCUUGAGAGAACUCGGGAGAAGGAACUCGGCAAAUUGACACCGUAACUUCGGAAGAAGGUGUGCCCUAUUAGUGUGAAGUGAACAACGGAGCAUGAAUGGGUUGCAAAAAAUCGGUGGCUGCGACUGUUUAUUAAAAACACAGCACUCUGCAAACACGAAAGUGGACGUAUAGGGUGUGACGCCUGCCCGGUGCUGGAAGAUUAAAUGAUGGGGUGCAAGCUCUUGAUUGAAGUCCCAGUAAACGGCGGCCGUAACAAUAACGGUCCUAAGGUAGCGAAAUUCCUUGUCGGGUAAGUUCCGACCUGCACGAAUGGCGUAACGAUGGCCACACUGUCUCCUCCCGAGACUCAGCGAAGUUGAAAUGUUUGUGAUGAUGCAAUCUCCCCGCGGAAAGACGGAAAGACCCCAUGAACCUUUACUGUAGCUUUGUAUUGGACUUUGAACAGAUCUGUGUAGGAUAGGUGGGAGGCUUUGAAGCAGGGUCGCUAGAUCUUGUGGAGCCAACGUUGAAAUACCACCCUGGUGUGUUUGAGGUUCUAACCUAGGUCCAUUAUCUGGAUCGGGGACAGUGCAUGGUAGGCAGUUUGACUGGGGCGGUCUCCUCCCAAAGCGUAACGGAGGAGUUCGAAGGUACGCUAGUUACGGUCGGACAUCGUGACGAUAGUGCAAUGGCAUAAGCGUGCUUAACUGCGAGACUGUCAAGUCGAGCAGAUGCGAAAGCAGGACAUAGUGAUCCGGUGGUUCUGUAUGGAAGGGCCAUCGCUCAACGGAUAAAAGGUACUCUGGGGAUAACAGGCUGAUACCGCCCAAGAGUUCAUAUCGACGGCGGUGUUUGGCACCUCGAUGUCGGCUCAUCUCAUCCUGGGGCUGUAGCCGGUCCCAAGGGUAUGGCUGUUCGCCAUUUAAAGAGGUACGUGAGCUGGGUUUAAAACGUCGUGAGACAGUUUGGUCCCUAUCUUCCGUGGGCGCUGCAGAUUUGAGGAAGCCUGCUCCUAGUACGAGAGGACCGGAGUGGACGCACCUCUGGUGUAUCGGUUGUCACGCCAGUGGCAUUGCCGAGUAGCUAUGUGCGGAAGAGAUAACCGCUGAAAGCAUCUAAGCGGGAAACUCGUUCCAAGAUGAGAUCUGCCGGGCC